This is a non-coding RNA of Paramisgurnus dabryanus, 283 nucleotides long. NCBI's taxonomy places the organism in Eukaryota, Metazoa, Chordata, Actinopteri, Cypriniformes, Cobitidae. The record is from RefSeq and is a predicted model, not a curated record.
CGCGGAGAAGAGUGGCAUGACCAAAAAAGUCAGCCCGAGACUAGAACCACUAGCAGCGUAACAAGGAAAUCUUGGAACAAAAGAGACGCCGAGUGGAUCGUGUUGUGCGGUUUGGAUAUCAGCUGCAAAGCGAACGUUGUGUGUACUAUUGCAAAAUAGCGGAUAUCCACGGUUAGGAUACAGACCACAACACUUUGGACGUAUCUUUAAAAAAGAGAAAAAUCAGAGACUUUUUGGAUUUGUCUGUGACAUUUUAAACAUUUUGUGACAUAUUGGAUUUAAA